GGGACAUGACAGUCCAUAUCCCACAACGACUUCCUCCUCGUGCAAGCUCCAAAAGCAUCUAACGACCUUUCUUACCACUAGCUCAAGGCUAGGGAAGUUCAAGAGAAGAAAAGUGGUGGUUAAUAGCAAAUAGAGAAGGUCCUUCCACUUCCGAAAACACCAAGCUUCGUUAUAUGACCCUUAACACCCUUGAGAGUAUGUAGAAUGAAUGGAAGUGAAAUGAUGUGAAGGUAUGGUGGUGGUGGUUCUCGGCCGAGCCAACGGAGGAGGGAGAGAGAGUUUGAAGGUGUUGUUGAUGUGAAGAUGUUAGAAGUGAAGGACUUGUGGUUUAUAUAAACUCACUUCCAACAUACCUUCACCCAUUGGUCCUUAUGUUUACUAAUUAUGGAGACAAGAUCUAAUAAAAUAAACCAAGAAAAUCAAGGGGGUGGGGGCCACAUGAACCGUAAGUAUAGGGGGUGGUUAGUUGGCAUGCAAUGGUUAUGA
RNAcentral lists this long non-coding RNA (486 nucleotides) under Helianthus annuus (common sunflower). RNAcentral's name for it is "sRNA HanXRQr2_Chr16g0738821". Lineage: Eukaryota; Viridiplantae; Streptophyta; Magnoliopsida; Asterales; Asteraceae. The record is from RNAcentral.